RNAcentral lists this long non-coding RNA (6119 nucleotides) under Triticum aestivum (bread wheat). Its description in RNAcentral is "long non-coding RNA (TAES_LNC001746)". The record is from RNAcentral. Lineage: Eukaryota; Viridiplantae; Streptophyta; Magnoliopsida; Poales; Poaceae.
UGCCUUCUUGCUUAGAUCUCUUCCUACAGAUGCCUGAUUCUUUUUGUUUAAUGUGUUAUGUGCAGGGUUAUUGCCAGGAGUGGUCUUUUGGGUUUUGCGAGAACGGCGUGUCCAGGACUCCAGGUUAAAACCAGCCGCCCUCCGAGCAAGAGCACCAUGUACCUCUACUACGAGGGCAUGCCAGGUUUUCCACAAGCUUAGCCGCGAGUCAUACGACUUCCUCCGCAGGAACUGUAACCACUUGUACUACGCUCUGCCAUAAUCUCCGCAUCCCCAAGCUUCCAAGUAAGGGUAGGAGAUUUAGCCUUUGUUCUUCUGAUUAGCCACUGAACUAAGGUCUUCUUUAUAAAAAUUAGUCACUGGACUGUAUUUGUAGGCACUGUGUGGUGGCGUUUGACACAUCUUAAUAUCAUGAUUUACUAUAGAAAUGGCCACAUAUCUGUAGUAUUUUUUUGUUCCCAAAACCAGAAUUGGUCCAACUGUAAUUUUCUUGUUACUUCUCAGAAUUGAAGCUUGGUACCGAUACUAGCUGCAUACCAGUACCAGAAAAAAAAAAAUCUGAUUUGGCCACACUCCAUCCACUGGCUACAUACUCGAAGUGGUUGUCUGGAUAAAUAAAAUUAGCGCCCAGUUUUUCAAAGAACGUAUUUUCAUUUGAUAUUUUUUGGAAAAUCCAAUUUUACUUAUAAUUCACGUAAUAAGUACGCGCAGAGUCUGUUUGGACUAGAAAAUUGUAGUAUCCAUUGAAAUUCGCCAGAUAGACAUACAUGUUUCCACUUGAAUCCAAGCAAACUAUCAUGUAAAUUAGAUAAAUUGUACAAUUUUUUGACUGAACCAUGAAUUUUUGUGAUGGCUUACCUACUUUAAAAAUUAUAAUUUAUGGUCUUGACAAUUGAGGUGAACAUGGUCAAGUGCUGAGCAGUUUGGGGUCAGAGAUUGACAAUUGAGAUUUCUUUUCACCAAAAAGAAAACUUUGUACCAAUUAUUCUUGUCUGUUUUCCACUCUGAUGCUUUAGAUGUUUAAUGGUUUCAUAGUCUUUUUGUCUAUACAGUCAGUGUAUUUGCUAAUUGUCAAGUUUGUACAGGUUAUGAUCAUUACCCUUCAACCGGGUUAUUUGAAAGAACGUUUAAUCCCUUGCUGAGCAUAAUUUGUGUAGGCAAAAGUAGCAAUCUCAUUUGUUUGUUCUAUUGUCAGAAUGACGGAUGGUACAUGGAACUAGUAGUGCAUGUCAAUUCAGUUGGUAAUAUUGUUGUACUCUAAAGGAAUUACCUUAUUUUGUUUCAUUCUAUUCAUGUAGGUGCUGUGUGUUUUGCACAAGAUAAUUACCGUGUAGCAGGUCAUGUGCAGUUUUAAAUUUAUUUAGCACAAGUGUGCAUGCACACACACACACAUAUAGAGUAUAGAUCUUUUUGAUAGUGUGGCUGUUGUCCUUUAUUUACCAGCUUAAUAUGAUUGCUGCCUUGGUCUACUUUAUUAUUCAUAAACGAUGAUAGGUAGCAAUUUUCUUAUUCAAGAAUAGUUUUCUUUGCAAAGUUGUGUAGAAGAGCGUCAUGCACAUUUUUCAGAGAGUAUUGACAUCUGAGAGGGAGGUUCACAGCAAAAAAGAGAAGGGCUGCUUCUUAUGCUUCCAUGUCAUUCUACCUUCAGUUUUGGUAAACAAUGUGUGAGCCCAAAUAUUCAGAUCCCAGUGAGCUUUCACAUUUAGUUUGACGGAAGCAUGUAAAAGUGCACCCAGCAAUAUAUUUUGAUGGCACUUGAUUUAAAAUUAUUAAGUGCAGCUGAUUGCAUAAGAUGGUACCUUAUGGAAGAACCAAGCACUUAAAGUAUAUUAGUGUUAGCACUCAGAGUCAGGCAACUGUAAGAAUUUGCUGGGUUUAGUUGGUGUUACCUUGUAUAAUAAGAUGGAUAAGGGUCGGAGUACUCGCCCAAGUAUUUAUUUUGAUAUUAUAAUUUAUAUAUACGGCUCUGAUAUGCGAUAGUGGCUUCCAUUUUUAAUACAAUAGUUGAUGUUACUUUUCUGGGAUUAGAUGGAAGAGGUGAACAUUCACUUUAUAUAAUAUUCCCGUUCAAGUCCAUAACUGAUGGAAGAAGUCAGGGUUAACUCUAUGUUUCAGGUCCCAAGCUUCAACAAUUUAUUUGUAAUGACACAGUUGAUCUUGGCUUCCUACUCUUAAGAGUUUAUUUGCUCUAACAAGGUAUAAAAGAGACACAGACAAUCUGCACAUAUCCUAGCCUACCAGGGAUGGAUUAAUGACUAACUGAGCUUUUUCCUGGCUUUGACUUCAGAGAUUGUAGUUAACUCUGUGCCAGGAAUAUGUAGUUUGGGAUUGGUUUUACUACUGAAUAUAUAUAUAACUUUAGGGCAACUCUUAUAUUCACUUAGAUAUUUUAGCUAGCUGAAGAAAAGAAAAAAUACUUUUUGAAUGUGCUAUGAUUAUGCCUGCCCAAGAUAGGAAGGGUGAUACUUUAUUUCCUUUUUGUUUUGUUGAAAUCUAAUCUAUCUUGGAAAAUGCAACUUUUGAUGUAUAUUUGUUUUACUAUCUUUGUUUUUGUUUGAAUAUUGUGAAUGAGCAGCAUGAACACGGCGUCUAGAGGAGCACACAUAGCAAUGGAGUGAUGAUUGAUGAAUGAUGCCUUCGUUUUCUAGAUGGCAAAACUUGUAUAAAACACAGUCAAAUGUAUGUACCCCAAAACAAUCUGACUAGGCAAAAGUAAAUGAGUAUAUCUUGAUUGGUGCCGAACAUACAAAAUUGUGGAUACAACAAUGGAGCUCUGUGGAGCAAGUGAGCAACUAGCACUUGCUAUUUACCAGUUUAUAUAGAUGCCACCUUUAGAGGGCCACUAAAUAUACUAAUUUCAGGUUUCAGCCCAUUAAAGCAAUGCAAUAACUCUGUACCUCCUCUCUUGUACAUUCUUAUUUCUUUUUACAUUACUAUUCUCAAAAUAGUGCAACGACGGGGUAACAAGAUGAUGAGUACGGUUACAUGUACCGACCAAGUCGGCUUAUUCAUUCUCUUGACACUGCUGGAUUUGUCUUGUAGUAUGUGGCACUUACACAAUUCUAUAUACUUGUUUCAAACCUUCAAAGAUCAUUUUUGUUUUGUAAAUAGGCUUUAUCCCAGUAUUCUGGCAUCACUUUAGUAGCAAGUAGAUGUGUCUCUUUAUCCCUGAUUGCAUUAUGUAUAAACUUUAUGGAUAAUUAACCAUACACGAUUAUUUGACACAUUCUCAGAAAGACAGAGACAUAUCCGCACAAAACAUACAACAAUUUUGUUAGCUUAUCAAGAAAAACAAUUCCUAAGAAAAUCAGUGAGGCGCGGCGUGCCGCCGCGCACUACUCGCUAGUAUAUAACACACCCGAAAUGAUCUCCGUUAUACUAGUACAUGUGGAGUUGCUGUCCAGUCCCUGCCAAACCCAAUUGUCACUUUGCUAGCUCCAAAAAGGGUGCAGCUUUGCUUAUUUUCCUCUCCUUCCCUAUUUGCAUCCUCCCCAAGCCCAGGCAGGCAUGGCGCACCACGCGCCGUCCAACUCUCUCAUACUCUUCCUGGUCCUCACUUCCAUCCAAGACGGCAGAGGUGCGACGUCGCGUCCAUCGCCGGCGCCGGCGGGAUACGUGCCGGUUCGCGCCGUGGUGUACCGAUCGGUGGCGCUCCCGGCCGCGACGGUAGCCGCCGCCGGGGACGAGGCGCCGGGCGGAGGAAGUUACGAGCCGUUCCAGCUGUGCAUGGGGUGCCGGUGCUGCGCGGCGGCAGGGAGCGGCGGCGCGAGCAGCUCAUGCGUGGACACGCGGUGCUGCUACGCCAUCGACUGCAACGUCCCCGGCAAGCCCUUCGGCGUCUGCGCCUUCUCCCCCCGCACAUGCGGCUGCGGCGCCGGCGCCGGCGCCGGCAACAACUGCACCGCCACCUAGGGACACCGAUCAGCCUCGUCACCGUUCAGCCAACGAUCGUCCUCAUCAACCUGCUAGCUGUUUUCGACACGCUAUUACUUUUACUUCAAUUUGGAAAAAAGGUUAUAUGCCUACCAAAUGGCACUGCAGAUAUAGCUCAAGAUUUGUUUUUUAUUUCCUUGUAUUACUGAUGUCAAUUCUUUUGGGUACUGUCGAAAUAAUUUUGCUCGUCUCUAGAGAGUUGGCAGCUGUUGCAUUUGACUCAUUUUGCCCCCUUCUCUGCCGAACAAAAAUUUCGUUGUUGACUCGUUGCAAAGCAUCGCAAGAUAGAGAGACAGGUACCAGUACCUAACCUUCACUUUCCAAAGCACUGACUCUUGCACGCACCAAAAAAAAAAGUUGCACUGACUAUGACUGCACUCAUGUGCCUAUACGGGCAUAUAUGAGUCACCCGUCAAUAAUUGUGCAAUCGUGCAUGGUCAUUUGAUGCCAAGUGGCACGACGAAAUAUGCACCAAAUCUCCAUCAAUCAAAUGCCAGUAAGCUCUGGCUAGCACUCAAGCCUCCCUCUGCUUUUUCCAAUCAAAAAUCAAAUCUUUUCCUUCCCUUUAUUCUCCAAAACGAAAAUCAUUGGGGAAAUAAAUUCGAUUGGCACGCAAGGGAGAAUGGCCAGUGCGAUAUAUUCUUACGACGAACAAGUGAUCUCCCGACACCACUACAUCAGAUGUGCGAUAUAUUCUUACGACAAAGCGAUACCUCCACAUCAGAUUUGGACUGGACGCUACCAGGUCCGUGGAGAAUAAGAACCACACCGCGCAAUCAAGGACAAGCAGUCGCAAGGCUUAUUUUAGGCAAGAGUGGCAACGGAUGAAAAUUAGAGAGUUCAUCAGAAAUACAUUUAUCUGGCUAGGAGAAAAGAGCGCGGUACUCGGUGGCCUCAUGAGCCAUUUCUUCCAUGCUUCUAUCUUUUCUUUCAACGUCCAGGUCAAGCUUCUCCUUCAUUUCCUUCUCUUUCACGUCAAUCUGUUACAAGGCAAAAUGACAAGCCUUAUGUCAGAAUCAACCAGAAAAGAAAACUGGAUCAGAUAAUAUCAACGGAACACCAAGGUCAUUUUACCGCAUCAUAUAUUUCAUCGUUUUUCUCAAAAUCUCCUUUCUUCCUGGGGAUGACGUGGAUGUGGACAUGGGCAACUGUUUGGCCAGCCUGAGGACCAUCCUGAUAAGUACAAAUAGCUAUAAUUCAGCAGCUGCUCCUUCCGCCAUUGAUUAUUGUGACUUUGUAAGGCAAAGGUGAACAAAGUAACCAAAGGCAAAACCACAGUAAUCAAAUGUAACUUGUUCCACAGCUAACACAUUCUAUUUUGUUGUGUACCACAACAGGAAAAUCAAUAAGGUGAACCCCUUUAAAUUGUACUACCUCUGUUCCUAAAUAUAAGACGUUUUGGUAGUUCAAAUUGAACUAUCAAAACGUCUUAUAUUUGUGAACGGAUGGAGUAGAAGCAAACUACAUAAAAUUUGGACGCUGAGCUAUUCACCACAUAGAUAUAGACUUUACCUGAAUUGCGAAUGUGAUGGAAGAAGCUUCGUGGUACUGCUCGAGCUUUGCACCAACUUCUUUUGCAGUUACCCACAAAUCACUAGUCUCAUCAGAACUUAGAUCAGCAAAUCGUUUCACCUCGCGUUUGGGGCACACGAGGACAUGUGUGUAUUGUCAAGGUAAAAUGGUAUAUACGAUAAAACAUGUGUUCUCGUCAUAUGAAACUUUAAAGCGUAAUAGAUGCUAAACUCCAAAUGAUAAAUGUUGUGAACAGCUGAACGGCAGGACCAAAAAAACAAUGGGGUAUUACCUCAAGUAAAAGUUAUAUACCUGGAACUAACUGCUGCAUACAACUCGAUUAUAUUUUCAUAAGAAGAUGAAGAUCAAUUGGUUGGGAUGACAUGACAUUUAAUAUUACUACUUUUAAAGAAUUAAUGACGGAUGUUUCAACCGUUUUUUAUAAGCCACUCACAUACAUGAAACCAGAUUCUAGUAUCGACAUCCUUGAUAUCUCGAUUUUAUUUAUAUAUCAAUGCAAAAGACUAUGAAAAUAUGCAGCAAUAUAUUCUCCAAUUAAUAACAAAAAUCAGUCAUCCUUUUUUGUUAGAAGUGUUUGGACUGUAUCCAUGAGAUUUAGCAGGCAUAAACAAGCAAGUGAAUCAAAGUAAUCGAUAGUAUGACAAAACCAGGAG